This 1458-nucleotide unclassified non-coding RNA is filed under the name Aphidius gifuensis. Its description in RNAcentral is "solute carrier family 25 member 35-like, transcript variant X2". Lineage: Eukaryota; Metazoa; Arthropoda; Insecta; Hymenoptera; Braconidae. The record is from RNAcentral.
UGAAAACAACAAAAGUCAAAACUACAUUGACUUGAUAGAAAAAAAACAAUAUUAAUUGAUUGACUUGAUAUAUAAUGUUAUAAACAAUUAAAAUUUGAAAUAAAAAUAUUUAACAAUGGCAUCGACAAAUGAAUUUGGACCAGAUUCUGGUGGAAGAAUAAAGGGAUUAUCAAUUGUAAAACCACUUGUUUAUGGUAAUGUUGCAAGAUAUUUUGGUAAAAAAAGAGAAGAAGAUGGUCAUACACAUCAAUGGACUGUCUAUGUAAAACCAUUUAAUAAUGAGGACAUGUCAGUUUAUGUUAAAAAAAUGCAUUUUAAAUUGCAUGAAAGUUACAAUAAUCCAAACAGAAUUCUUACAAAACCACCAUAUGAAGUAACUGAAACUGGCUGGGGUGAAUUUGAAAUUGUUAUUAAAAUAUAUUUUCAUGAUCCAAAUGAAAGACCAGUAACAAUAUAUCAUAUAUUAAAAUUAUUUCAAACAUCACCAGACAUACAGACUGGAAGAAAAAAUUUAGUAUCUGAAUUUUAUGAAGAAAUUGUAUUUCAAGAUCCAACAGCAUAUAUGCAACAUUUACUUAGUAUAACUAGGCCAAUGACACUUGGAGACUGGCGACAUGAAACUGAUUUUGAAGCAAAAAAAGAAUCUACAUACAAAGCCAUUACUGAAGCAAGAAAUCGUGUACGUCAUGAAGUUAUUGAUUUAAAAGAAAAGCUGACACUAGCAAAAGAAACGAUUGCAAAAUUUAAAGCUGAAAUAGCAAAAAUUUCAAAAGGAAAUAUUAUUUCAGUCGCACAAUAAUUGAAUAUUUUAUAUUUAGCAUUAAUUUUAUUUUUUAUAUUAAAAAUUAUCAUCUAAAAAUUUAUAUUGUAAAAUACUUUUUAUCUUUACUUAAUUCAUUAAUCAUUAAAAAGAAAAAAAAACUAAUAAAUUUUAGUCUCAUAUUAUUUUUGUAAUGAUAAGAAUUUCAGUCCAACUUGUUUUGGAGACAAGAGAAAAAAAAAAAUAUUCUUUUUGAUAAAAACAGAUGUUUAUUAAUAACAUUUGAAUAGUUACGUGACCUAACUCUUCAAGGUAUCAACAAUUUUAUAUGCUGACUUGCGGAAAAUAUUGAUACUAUAACCAAAUUUACAGAAAAUACAUAAUCAUCUGUGUAGAAAACAAAAAAAAUAAAUAAAAACACACCGGUACAAAUAUUAAAAUUAAAAGAUAUAAUUCAUUCAAAAGAUAAGUAAUGACUGAAUGAGUUACCAAGUUUAUCGAGUCAUUUGCAAGUGAAAAUUUUUAUAAAUUAUUUAUUUUAAAACUGAUUAAAGCACCAACCUCAUCAAGCAAUAAAUCAUGACAACGAACGACAGUGGAGCAAAAAACUAGGUGUUGAAUUUGGUCUUGGUGCACUUGCUGCAACUGGUGCUGGAAUAUUUACAAAUCCAAUUGAUGUUAUUAAAAUACGUUUACAA